AGAGUUUGAUCCUGGCUCAGGACGAACGCUGGCGGCGUGCUUAACACAUGCAAGUGGAGCGACGAACCGGGGCUUGCCCCGGGGCAGAGCCGCGAACGGGUGAGUAACACGUGGGUUACCUACCCCGAUGACCGGGACAACCCGAGGAAACUCGGGCUAAUACCGGAUGUGGUCUUCGGACGAAAGGAAGCUUCGGCCUCCGCAUCGAGAUGGGCCCGCGGCCCAUUAGCUUGUUGGUGAGGUAACGGCUCACCAAGGCUUCGAUGGGUAGCUGGUCUGAGAGGACGAUCAGCCACACUGGGACUGAGACACGGCCCAGACUCCUACGGGAGGCAGCAGUGGGGAAUAUUGCGCAAUGGGCGAAAGCCUGACGCAGCGACGCCGCGUGGGGGAUGACGGCCUUCGGGUUGUAAACCUCUUUCAGCAGGGACGAAGUUGACGUGUACCUGUAGAAGAAGCGCCGGCUAACUACGUGCCAGCAGCCGCGGUAAUCAAUCGCC
This 500-nucleotide ribosomal RNA is filed under the name uncultured bacterium. Its description in RNAcentral is "bacterial SSU rRNA". It matches the Rfam family "Bacterial small subunit ribosomal RNA", at positions 8 to 529 of the family's 1533-position model. The record is from RNAcentral.